GACGAACGCUGGCGGCGUGCUUAACACAUGCAAGUCGAACGGAAAGGCCUGCUUUCCCUUGUGGAUUGCGGGUACUCGAGUGGCGAACGGGUGAGUAACACGUGAGUGAUCUGCCCCCAACUUGGGUAUAAGCCUGGGAAACUGGGUCUAAUUCCCGAUAGGACUGCAGGGUGGUGCCUGUGGUGGAAAACGAUUUUCUAGUGGUUGGGGAUGAGCUCGCGGCCUAUCAGCUUGUUGGUGGGGUAAUGGCCUACCAAGGCGGCGACGGGUAGCCGGCCUGGGAGCGUGGACGGUGAAAUUGGGACUGGGUCCAGGCCCAGACGCCUACGGGAGGCAGGAGAGGGGAAUAUUGGACCACAGGCGGAAGCCUGCUGCAGCGACUCGGCGUAGAGGACGUCGGGCUUGGGGUGGUAAACUGUUUGCGAACGAGAGGAAGAGACCUGGUUGGAGGGGUGGUGACGGUAGUGGUAGAAGAAGCACCGGCUAACUACGUG
This 494-nucleotide ribosomal RNA is filed under the name uncultured bacterium. RNAcentral describes it as "partial 16S ribosomal RNA". It matches the Rfam family "Bacterial small subunit ribosomal RNA", at positions 28 to 507 of the family's 1533-position model. The record is from RNAcentral.